This 75-nucleotide transfer RNA is filed under the name Staphylothermus marinus F1. RNAcentral's name for it is "tRNA-Arg (CCT) (tRNA-Arg-CCT-1-1)". It matches the Rfam family "tRNA". From Rfam's summary of the family: Transfer RNA (tRNA) molecules are approximately 80 nucleotides in length. Lineage: Archaea; Thermoproteati; Thermoproteota; Thermoprotei; Desulfurococcales; Desulfurococcaceae. RNAcentral also lists the same sequence under 4 other names. The record is from RNAcentral.
GGGCCCGUAGCCUAGCCAGGAUAGGGCGCCGGCCUCCUAAGCCGGAGACCCGGGGUUCGAAUCCCCGCGGGCCCG